Molecule: ribosomal RNA, 252 nt
Filed under: uncultured bacterium
Lineage: Bacteria
Description: partial 16S ribosomal RNA
Rfam family: Bacterial small subunit ribosomal RNA
Source: RNAcentral
UACGUAGGCCCCGAGCGUUGUCCGGAUUUAUUGGGCGUAAAGCGAGCGCAGGUGGUUUAUUAAGUCUGGUGUAAAAGGCAGUGGCUCAACCAUUGUAUGCAUUGGAAACUGGUGGACUUGAGUGCAGGAGAGGAGAGUGGAAUUCCAUGUGUAGCGGUGAAAUGCGUAGAUAUAUGGAGGAACACCGGUGGCGAAAGCGGCUCUCUGGCCUGUAACUGACACUGAGGCUCGAAAGCGUGGGGAGCAAACAGG